This 77-nucleotide transfer RNA is filed under the name Proteus mirabilis. Its description in RNAcentral is "tRNA-Pro". It matches the Rfam family "tRNA". Rfam says of the family: Transfer RNA (tRNA) molecules are approximately 80 nucleotides in length. Their secondary structure includes four short double-helical elements and three loops (D, anti-codon, and T loops). The record is from RNAcentral. RNAcentral also lists the same sequence under 74 other names. Lineage: Bacteria; Pseudomonadati; Pseudomonadota; Gammaproteobacteria; Enterobacterales; Morganellaceae.
CGGCAUGUAGCGCAGCCUGGUAGCGCACCGUCAUGGGGUGUCGGGGGUCGUAGGUUCAAAUCCUAUCAUGCCGACCA